GUCCACGCUGUAAACGGUGAGUGCUGGGUGUGGGAGGUGUAAUGCCUUCUGUGCCGAAGCUAACGCGUUAAGCACUCCGCCUGGGGAGUACGGCCGCAAGGUUGAAACUCAAAGGAAUUGACGGGGCCCGCACAAGCGGUGGAGCAUGUGGUUUAAUUCGACGCAACGCGAAAACCUUACCUGGGUUUGACAUGUGGAGAACCCGGUGGAAACACUGGGGUGCCCCGUAAGGGGAGCUCCAACACAGGUGCUGCAUGGCUGUCGU
This 265-nucleotide ribosomal RNA is filed under the name uncultured bacterium. RNAcentral describes it as "partial 16S ribosomal RNA". It matches the Rfam family "Bacterial small subunit ribosomal RNA", at positions 793 to 1055 of the family's 1533-position model. The record is from RNAcentral.